Eptesicus fuscus (big brown bat) is the source of this 1150-nucleotide long non-coding RNA. RefSeq lists it as uncharacterized. The transcript is spliced from 3 exons. Lineage: Eukaryota; Metazoa; Chordata; Mammalia; Chiroptera; Vespertilionidae. The record is from RefSeq and is a predicted model, not a curated record.
AACUUCUAACCAUCUUAUCCGAUCCCAAUGCAAAGCCUAACUGAGAAAAUGGCGUCCGAGGGGAAUUCGCCGACUGCCACGCUGCCCUCUCAGGCCUGUUGUUGCUGUCAAACAUUUCGUUGCGUGGAAUCUUUUUCAUACGACCCGUGGGGAACACGUGUCCCGACACUCACUCUUCUGACUCCGCCUAGUCGCACCGGGAGGUGAGAUCCCGCCAGGCAGGAGCCCUGACCCAGGAGGGUCGUGCCUACGAAAUCCUUUCCAGGAGAUCGUUUCGUCCGCCUGCAUCAUCACACGGGGAUUUUCGACAAUUUAGGAAAACACCAUCUAACAACAAUUAGAAAUUAACUUUCCAAGAUGAAAAAGGAGAGUCAUUUAGAAAUAAGAGCGACAAAGGAAUAUGUUUAGAAAAAUGUAGUAAUACACAGUCACUUAUCCAAUGACUCUCACUUUUUGCCAGAAAAUUACCAAGGAGAGAAGGAAAAAGAAGUUAGCAAGGGAAAUUCCUGUCUCCACACCCCAGCGCUGUCUCCUCAUGUGGGGUGUGGGGGGCUGGUCGGCCCUCCUUGGGACCUUUGGGACUGAGGCUUGUAAGGUGAUGCCACUCGUUCCCAUAAGCUUUCUGUCUGAUUUCUCACGCAGCCCAAACAAGAGCAGGUGUGGGUGCAAAGGUGACACGCAGACCUACCGAUAGUAGCAGCAGGUGACAGAUAACAGCCAGGGACACACAUACAGAGACUUGAGGGACUAGGGAAGCAUCACUGGGGCUAUUCGGCGAGGCCACUGCCUGGAUGGUGCAUUGCAGGUGAGGUGACCACCGGCCGUGAGUAAAAUAACGAUUCUUGCCCCUUCUACGUGGUCAGAGAACAUGACAAAUACAUUUAAAUUCUAUUAAAAGUGACUUAAUUUUUAAAAACAUUUCUUGGUUCUUUUUGUAAAUUUUAUUUACUUUUUAAAUAAUUUGAGAGAGAUCUUUAUUGUUGAGAUUAUUACAUAUGUCCCUCUUCCCCCUCCCACUGUCCCCCUCCACCUGGUUCCCACCCUGACCCAGGCCUUCACCACUCUAUUGUCUAUGUCCACAGGUAAUACACAUCCUAUAUAAUAAAAGGCGAAUAUGCAAAUCGACUGAAUGGUGGAAUGACCGGUUGCU